UGCAGAAAAGACCUUUGAAAGGUAUGGCC
RNAcentral lists this non-coding RNA (29 nucleotides) under Rattus norvegicus (Norway rat). The record is from RNAcentral. Lineage: Eukaryota; Metazoa; Chordata; Mammalia; Rodentia; Muridae.